RNAcentral lists this unclassified non-coding RNA (2490 nucleotides) under Leishmania donovani. RNAcentral's name for it is "gene:LdHU3.26.1650(CDS-product:hypothetical_prote in_conserved)". Lineage: Eukaryota; Euglenozoa; Kinetoplastea; Trypanosomatida; Trypanosomatidae. The record is from RNAcentral.
CGCUCAGUGCACCCAACCAACCCUCUUAUCGCCCCUUCCAUAAUGUGGCGCAGCCUCUAUCGGCGUGCGCCCGUUCCUAAUGAUGUCACUGGCCUCCGAGGCGUAGCCGAUCGCGCUGCCCACGGGUGGCAGAGAAGAACGGCGGCUGUCACUGGCUUGCUAACUACGCAGUCGUCGUCGCGCAGCCAUCUUGGUGCACGUCUCCUGUCGUCAUCGGCAUCGUCGCUUCGUGCGAACCCUCGCAGAUGCAUCGGUGCGCCAGGCUCGGCGCCGCACCCCUGCAGCGCCGCUCGCCAUCUUUCGUACGUCACGAAUGCGGCGAACUUUGAAGCAGAGGUGCUGCAGUCGCAGCAAGCCAUCUGCCUCAUCUACUACAUACCGAAUAGAAACUGCUCCGCGUACCUGAAAGCUGCCGAGAAGCUGGUGGAUUCGAUCAACGCUCAGGCAACAGGGCUGGACGCAGCAGCGUCGACGAGCGGCAGCGGCGGCGGCGCAGCGGAGGUGUCACUGUCAGAGCUAACCGUGGAGGUGAACGGCACGCAGGUGUCAGAAACCGCUGAGGGCGACGCAGCUCCGUCCACGUUGUCGCCAGCUUCAUCUGCUGCGCCAACCCAGCGGCCAAACAAGAUGGAGUGGUUGAAGCUCUGCACGAUCAACGCGGACGAGAACCGCAAUUUAGCCUCCGCCUUCUCGGUGGAGCGCGCGAGGCUGCCGAUUACAUACUUCGUGAUGCAAGGCACCAUUGUCGAUAAGGUCGUGGGCCACGUCGCUGAGGCGCGACUGAGCAGCAUCCUCAUCAAGUUCCUCGAGCACUACCAGAAGGAAAUGAACGUGGAUCUUCUCGCACGACAGAACAAGUCGAGCAGGACGGGCGGCGCGAGUGCCAGCCCGCUCCCCUCCGCCGCCACAGCAGACCUUCUCAGUGGCGCCUCGACGGCGUUCUUGCAGGAGAAGAUCAUGAACGCCCUAGUAGGUGCGGACAUGAUCCAGCUGCCCGAGGAAGCCGAGAAACUCGACGGUCUGCGACGCACGUUGCAGGAAGCAAAGAAAAAGGCACACGCAGAGCUGCAGGAGUUGCACAAGCAGCUGGGCAUGGACGUGCGCCGCCUCAGCGACGCUGAGAUGCAGGCCUACUACUUUAAAGCCCCUCAGUUCUACGCACUCGGUCGGCUUUGUGCGCUCGAGGCGCUUUACCUUGCGCGGUCGCACGCGACGCUCGGCGAUGUGGCGCGCGUCAACGUGGACUGGGCCCGUCAUGCAGUGCGCAAAGACUUUGAGGCCAUUCAAGGCGACCUCGUGCUGCGGCGGGUGCUGGCCUUGGUGGAUGCGAACCUGGUUCGUGGUGAGCUGCGCACAGCGGCGGUGCUGGCGGCGCAGGAUGCGAACCGGCUCUGCAGCGUCCUAGCCGCGAUGGACACCGACGAUGUGCGCGGUGCGCAGCAUCGCAACACCCUAAAGGAGAUGGAGGCGCUUAUCGCGGGGCAGAGCCAGUACUGCCUGGACAUGCUGCGCAUCAUCGACGACAACAUCGACAGCCGAGCACUCGAUGGCAGCGCGUUCCCAUCUGCGAUCGUAGAUCAGCUGUUUGAGCUGCUGAAGAGCAAUCUGAAGCUGAGUCGGACGCAUCUCUCGCAGUCAUCGCGGACUGCAGAGGCCGAUGCGCCGGACGCCGGAGGCGCCGAAGAGAGCAUGAAGGUUUUCAUGGACGGCAAGGCGAUCGAUACGACGGCGAAGCGGGUACUGAUGGCGAAGGCACGAGUGCCGCAAGUUCGAACGUUGAUCAUGUCCCUUCUCCAGCUCUAUCCGACGGAUCCGAAGAGCCAAGACGCGCGGUCACGAUUGGCUUCCCUCCUUUAUUGAGGAGAGAGACGCUGCCGUCGCGGGUGGCGAGGGAAUCAGUGCGCCCUCACAAGUGUCACGGCCCGCCGCGUUGAAGUUCGUCGGAGUGCAGAUCUACAAAGGGGAGGGGGCGCCUACGUCGUUCGCUCCGACCGUGGCAAGACAGCUCUUGCAGAGACUCUCUCCUCUCUCGCCCUCGCUACCCCUUCCCCUACCACCGCCACCGCCAUCCCUUCAGCCCCGCGGCGGGCAGGGCAUAAACCGGACGAAGAAAAGCGGAUGCACGCAAGGCCCCCUCUCAACCACGUCUGUCUAUCCCUCCGUCGCCCUCUCCCUCUCCCUGGGGAGGGCGUGGGUUGGUGUAGGCUUGUGUGGGAGGGAGUGGGAGGCGGUAGUUAUCAAGUUUCUCGGUGAAUCGGGACAGUCGCAGCGGCGUCGUUGCUUCUCUUCGGUCUGUCUCCUUGACUUCGUUAGGCGCACGCGGUUGAAGAUGUUCUUCGACGUGCCUGUGUGUGUGUCUGCGUAGGGGCGCGUCACGCACGCUGCCGUCGUCCUUGUCGCCGACGUUUUGCUUCUUUCCCGUGUGAGUACUUCACAGCUGACCCCCACCCCCGCUCUCGAGUCUGAAGUAUCGCGUCGCACCCCAAUGUC